GACGAACCGUGCGAACGUUGUUCGGAAUCACUGGGCUUAAAGGGCGGGUAGGCGGGUCAUCAAGUCAGGGGUGAAAUACUUCGGCUUAACCGGAGAAGUGCUUUUGAUACUGGUGACCUCGAGGGGUGUAGGGGCAUGUGGAACUUCCGGUGGAGCGGUGAAAUGCGUAGAUAUCGGAAGGAACGCCGGUGGCGAAAGCGACGUGCUGGACACCUUCUGACGCUGAGGCGCGAAAGCCAGGGGAGCAAACGGG
RNAcentral lists this ribosomal RNA (253 nucleotides) under uncultured bacterium. RNAcentral's name for it is "partial 16S ribosomal RNA". It matches the Rfam family "Bacterial small subunit ribosomal RNA", at positions 524 to 776 of the family's 1533-position model. The record is from RNAcentral.